Molecule: long non-coding RNA, 1832 nt
Organism: Mangifera indica (mango)
Lineage: Eukaryota; Viridiplantae; Streptophyta; Magnoliopsida; Sapindales; Anacardiaceae
Exons: 3
Source: RefSeq, a predicted model, not a curated record
AAAGCACACCCUCGGUGAUAAUUGUUUUGGUGGCAAUGGAUUUGUUGCCCCAGUGAACUAUUCAAACUUUUUAUAUGCGGGGAGUGGAUAUGGAUCUCAAAAAUUUUCUGGAAUUUUGACACAUGCUGUAAAAGCUGCUCUUGAAGAUAUAUUGCUUCAUAUGCAAAGAAUGAAUGGAAAUUUCAAUGGGGUGGAUUUGGGCUUCACCACUGGAAGUUUUAGGAGUAGCAGAAUUCUGUCUCAAAAUCCCUGUGAGAUAUUGUUGCAGUCUCUUAGAGAAUUUAUUUCUGAAAGGCAGGGUUUUUUACAAGAAGGUUGGUGUGUUGAAUUAAGAUGUUCUAUGAGCAGUUGUCAACUAUAUGCUGUUUGCUGUGCCCCAGAUGGAAAGACUUUUGAAUCAAUGUCUGAAGUUGCUUAUUAUCUGGGUUUGAUUUCUAACUACAAUUCUAUGGAUGCUGAAAUAAGAACUGAAGGAUCUGCUGUGCAGGAAAGGUUGGAUCUAUCCAAAAGAAGAAAGCUAAGAAGAGCUUUGGUUGUUAAUGGUAUUGAGCAAAAAAGGAUUUGAUAAGUAUUUAACGAGUUUUCAUCCAAUUGCGAACCUAUUAAGAUUUUCGCUUGUAGAUCUAAUACUAUUGAGGAUGGUACUGAAGCUGUGAGAGAGGAAAAUAGUUUCACUGGAUUUCAGCACAAUAAGGGUGAUGAUAAGUUUGAUACAACGAGCAAUGUACUUCUGAAGUGGCUGGACCAGGAUAGAUUUGUGUUAGACACUGAGUUUGUGCAUUAAAUUAUUGAACAGCUCCCUGGUGUUAUAGCCUGUUCACUUUACAGAUUUCUGAAGGAUAGAAGUUACUCAACCUCAUCCUUAGCUGUUGGAAAUGGACUACUGAUUGCAAAUAGGAAAUUUGGGAUAGAAGAAGAAGUAUCAGAUUGUUCAUUUGGAAUGCUCAACAAACCUCUGUUGGUUGAAGACCAUGAUCAUUGCCCUCUUGGAAAGGCAUUGUGCUUGAGGCUUCCUCACAUUAUUGGUGAUGUUUAUCAGGUAUGGGAGUUCUUUGGGCGUAUUCAUGAAAGUUUGGGUCUGAAGGGACCUUUUAUGUUGGAGGAACUUGAAGAGGAGCUUAUCAACCCAUGGUUUGAUGGCUCAAGUCCUCUGGCACUGAACCCUCAGGCUUGAAAGAAAGUGACUGUAUGGGUGGACAAAUGCUAUCCUCAAGGGAAAAACCACAGGCAUUUAUACAGAUGGAAACUGGAUCAAUGAAGGAAGCAGCCCAAGCUAGAAUAGCAUCUGUUAAUUACAGCAGAUGUUUUGGUGUGGUUUUGACCAAGGCUCAUAGCUUUUUGCUUGGGGCACUAAUUUGUGAGCUGCAAUUGUUGACUGAAACUUCUAUUCUGGAGAGUUGAAAUCGAAGCAGGGGAGGAAGAAAGAUGCAGAUUGCUCAAUUUCUCCCUAUCAAUGAAUUUACUUGGCCAGAAUUAGCUUGGAGAUACAUCUUGGCUUUCUUAUCCAUGGAUGUUGGCCUUGACUCUGUGGAUAUUACUGCUCGUGAAAGUUGUAAAGUGUUUCGCUGCUUACAAGGUGGAGGGGUGCUCUGUGGCUCACUUACUGGAGUUGUUGGGAUGGAAGCAGAUGCCCUGGUAAGAUUGGCUCUUGAUUCUUUUGUUGGUAUACGCAUGCUCUUAUUUAACAGAAAUUGUUAACACAUGAUCUAGAGAACAUUAUUUUAAUUUGCUUGAUUCCUGCCAUCUCCGAGGUUGUAGAUGUACUCCUAUGAUACAAUUUGGAAGUUGGAAUUGCUAGAAGGUAAGAAAUUACCUUUUAAGUUUUUGCUUAA